GGCCGGGCCUCCAUCCCGGGACCAUCAUCAUGCCCUGGAGCAGCACGCGCGGGCCACGCCGCGGCGCCGAGGCAGCUCGUCACAGCUGAUUGAGCACGACGCCGAAGAAUUGCGAACAGAACAGCCGCCAAAAACCAGGUGCGUUCGCGUCACCAGCCCCGGCCCCGGGACUUUGUCUCAGUUGUGCCAAGCCCCCCAAAGCUCCGAAAAAUCUCUACCAGCGUCGCACGGGCCAAAAGCUAUCGCCCAUUAACACGAACAGAGGCGACGGCAAAUGAUCGCAUGGAAAGUGUAAAGGAAUGAAUAAACUUACAAAGCAUUCCUCA
Thrips palmi is the source of this 326-nucleotide long non-coding RNA. RefSeq lists it as uncharacterized. NCBI's taxonomy places the organism in Eukaryota, Metazoa, Arthropoda, Insecta, Thysanoptera, Thripidae. The transcript has 2 exons. The record is from RefSeq and is a predicted model, not a curated record.